AUUGAACGCUGGCGGCAUGCUUUACACAUGCAAGUCGAACGGCCGCACGGGGGCAGCCCUGGUGUCGAGUGGCCAACGGGUGAGUAAUACAUCGGAACGUGCCCUGUCUUUGGGGAUGACGUAGCUAAAGUUACGCUAAUACCGCAUCCGAUCUGAUUUUGAACGCGGGGGACCUUCAGUCCUCGCGCGAUCUGAGCGCCCGAUGUGGGAUUAGGUAGUUGGUUGGGUAAAGGCCUACCAAGCCGACGAUCUAUAGCUGGCCUGAGAGGACGACCAGCCACACUGGGACUGAGACACGGCCCAGACUCCUACGGGAGGCAGCAGUGGGGAAUUUUGGACAAUGGGCGCAAGCCUGAUCCAGCAAUGCCGCGUGAAGGACGAAGGCCUUCGGGUUGUAAAAUGCUUUUGUAAGGAAAGAAAAGGCUCUGGCUAAUACGUGGGGAUCAUGACGGUACCGUAAGAAUAAGCAACGGCUAACUACGUG
This 484-nucleotide ribosomal RNA is filed under the name uncultured bacterium. RNAcentral describes it as "partial 16S ribosomal RNA". It matches the Rfam family "Bacterial small subunit ribosomal RNA", at positions 30 to 507 of the family's 1533-position model. The record is from RNAcentral.